Molecule: ribosomal RNA, 514 nt
Filed under: uncultured bacterium
Lineage: Bacteria
Description: partial 16S ribosomal RNA
Rfam family: Bacterial small subunit ribosomal RNA
Source: RNAcentral
GAUGAACGCUGGCGGCGUGCCUAAUACAUGCAAGUCGAGCGCGAGAAUGAGGAGCUUGCUCCUCAUAAUCGAGCGGCGGACGGGUGAGUAACACGUAGGCAACCUACCCUUGAGAUUGGGAUAACUACCGGAAACGGUAGCUAAUACCGGAUACGACUUUUCCACACAAGUGGAAUUGUUAAAAGGCGGAUUUAUCUGCCGCUCAUGGAUGGGCCUGCGGUGCAUUAGCUAGUUGGUGAGGUAGUGGCUCACCAAGGCGACGAUGCAUAGCCGGCCUGGGAGGGUGAGCGGCCACACUGGGACUGAGACACGGCCCAGACUCCUACGGGAGUCAGCAGUAGGGAAUCUUCCGCAAUGGACGCAAGUCUGACGGGGCAACGCCGCGUGAGUGAUGAAGGGUUUCGGCUCGUAAAACUCUGUUGUUAAGGAAGAACACUUGAGGUAGUAACUGGCCUUGAGAUGACGGUACUUAACCAGAAAGCCACGGCUAACUACGUGCCAGCCGCCGCAGUAA